GCUUGUCUCAAAGAUUAAGCCAUGCAUGUCUAAGUAUAAAUGAUAUACAGUAAAACUGCGAAUGGCUCAUUAAAACAGUUAUAGUUUAUUUGGUAAUCGAAUUUACAUGGAUAACCGUGGUAAUUCUAGAGCUAAUACAUGCUGUAAAGCCCGACUUCUCGGAAGGGCCGUAUUUAUUAGAUAACAGACCAAUAUUCCUCGUGUCUAUUGUGGUGAAUCAUAGUAACUGAUCGGAUCGCAUGGGCUACGCCCGCGACAAACCAUUCAAGUUUCUGCCCCAUCAGCUUUCGAUGGUAGGAUAGAGGCCUACCAUGGUUUUAACGGGUGACGGAGAAUUAGGGUUCGAUUCCGGAGAGGGAGCCUUAAAAACGGCUACCACAUCCAAGGAAGGCAGCAGG
RNAcentral lists this ribosomal RNA (398 nucleotides) under uncultured Strobilidiidae. RNAcentral's name for it is "partial small subunit ribosomal RNA". It matches the Rfam family "Eukaryotic small subunit ribosomal RNA", at positions 30 to 432 of the family's 1831-position model. Lineage: Eukaryota; Ciliophora; Spirotrichea; Choreotrichida; Strobilidiidae. The record is from RNAcentral.